UGGAAACUUUCUGACUGCCAAAAAUU
Molecule: non-coding RNA, 26 nt
Filed under: Rattus norvegicus (Norway rat)
Lineage: Eukaryota; Metazoa; Chordata; Mammalia; Rodentia; Muridae
Source: RNAcentral